This is a long non-coding RNA of Eutrema salsugineum, 948 nucleotides long. RefSeq lists it as uncharacterized. The transcript is spliced from 4 exons. Lineage: Eukaryota; Viridiplantae; Streptophyta; Magnoliopsida; Brassicales; Brassicaceae. The record is from RefSeq and is a predicted model, not a curated record.
GUUCCUCCUCCGGGUAAAGGAGUUUUGUAUACAAGGCCUCGGCUAAUAGGGAGUGGCGCUAUCCUUGGAGCAGCUCCAGCACCUGAGUACACGUUCCUCAUUUACGCAUCUCCCGUAGGAGAUUACCAUAAGGUAAGCACAGGCCUGAACCUUAAAGUUGAUCAUAAGUAUCGCCGAGCCAAUUCACUUGUUUUCAGAAGCGUGGAUGCUUAUUACUUUUGUUUCCAUGAGAUGCAGGUCACUUUAACACUUUUGUUGGAGAUCGGUCUGCUUAUGUGUUCAGUUAGAUUCUGAUUUUGCUUGUGUAUUGGAUUAGGUGAUCUGGUGAAGAUGCUUUUGAGACUGCAAAGAGUUGACGUUUCUUCUUCUCCUUAAUCUCAUUAGCUUUUGGUUUUAGUUCUUAUUCCUUCUCUCUGUUCUUGAGAGUUUAUUAAUUUUCUGAAUUUUUUUUUUUGCAGAAAAGAAGAAUGGUUGCAAUAUUUUGACCACGUUUAAGCAAAACGAGAGACUUGAAUCAGUUUCAGUUACAUCUCAUCAUUACAGUUCAUCAAAAGCAGGUUUUGGUUACAAUAAACUUUUCUCUAGAACAAUUGGAACGUGUUUUGGAUACAAGAUCAAAUCUGGUGGAGUUUUAUAUUGGACAAAAACAGAAGAGGGCAACAACUGCUGCAAAAACCGGUUGCAAGAUGAUCAAAUCUUUUUGAGUUACUGUGUGUGUUUGUUGCUUGAAACUACAACUUAUGGCAUUGAUUCUCUCCCAGGCUAGGCAAGCUCUUCUCACUCAAAGAAUUGCUUCAGCACUUCAAGCAGCCAUGAUGUUAAGACCACGUUUGGUAAGACAUUUGGUAUGAUGUUUAAGACUUGAUGUUUUGUAAGACUUGUUUUUAAUACGAUAUUUGUCCUUGUGAUGUUUUGUGUAAGACAUGUUUGGAUGUUUAAUAAAAAUAA